GGCGGGUCGCCCCGCAUUGCAAGGUCGUGAAUCUGGUCAGGUCCGGAAGGAAGCAGCCACAGCGAAUUCUGGCAAGUGCCGGGGUAACGGCUCGCCACC
RNAcentral lists this signal recognition particle RNA (99 nucleotides) under Betaproteobacteria bacterium. RNAcentral's name for it is "signal recognition particle sRNA small type". It matches the Rfam family "Bacterial small signal recognition particle RNA". From Rfam's summary of the family: The signal recognition particle (SRP) is a universally conserved ribonucleoprotein involved in the co-translational targeting of proteins to membranes. Archaeal SRP consists of a 7S RNA and homologues of the eukaryotic SRP19 and SRP54 proteins. Lineage: Bacteria; Pseudomonadati; Pseudomonadota; Betaproteobacteria. The record is from RNAcentral.